Long non-coding RNA from Spinacia oleracea (spinach), 1581 nucleotides. RefSeq lists it as uncharacterized. NCBI's taxonomy places the organism in Eukaryota, Viridiplantae, Streptophyta, Magnoliopsida, Caryophyllales, Amaranthaceae. The record is from RefSeq and is a predicted model, not a curated record. The transcript has 3 exons.
AACAAUAACGGGGAAAUGAAAUUUUUGUCGUGAAAACACUUCAAUGCUCCGCAGUAACAAGCUCGGGCGUUGGUCGUAGUAGUAUAAGCCUGAAAUUAAACACGCAUCCCAAAAUCGUCUUUAGUAUCAGACAAAAAUAAAAAAUAAAAAUAUGUUCGUCGUUACAUUUCUAAAAUCAACGCGGGAUUAAAAUUUCACUCCCAAAACUCAAACCAGAAAGAAGCGGCGCAUAUGGAAGUUAAAUGAAACCCUAAACUUUCCGGUUUCAUAGAACAUCAGAUAAGAAGAAAUUGAAAAUUCUCCUCCAUUAUGAAAAAUUGAUUGGAUUCUACAGUUCUCAGUCAAACCCUCAAAUUUACAAUUUCGAUCAGCAUGCUCUCAUUUUUCAGAUGCAGACUCGCUUCUGAGUUGUACAUGUUGGUUUGUAGUUCUGCACUUCAGUUCAAGAUUGGUUUACGGGGUGCUUUAGCUUCAAGUGCAUCUUUGAAGUGUUUAAGACCAAAAUUGACUUGUUGACCUUGUUUAGCACGUUGGUUUUAGGAUCAUGAUUGUUAGGCCUAGCCAGGUGCAAUCCUUUUCUAGCUUUUGUUAUACCUUUUUACUAGCCUUCAAAGGUCUUAAUUACUGCUCUUUUCUGCAGGUCAGAACUUAUCGACCUGUCAUUUAUGAUAUGAACGUGUCAGGCUUGUGAGAGAUUAGUGGGUGCAUACGUCGAGUCAGCAAAAAAUACGGGGAGGACGAAGGAAAGAUCAACUUGCUAGAAUACACGGAAAGGUUGAUCGAGUUCAAGCUGGCCUUAAUUUUUAGCCAUGAAGAAGGUCAGCCAGAGCAUAUUCGGAGAUAUAUGUUGAUAUUACGUGGAAGGCAAGCUUUGAACGACCUUCUUAUGAGAAUAGAACGUGAAAGGCAAAGGGAGCUUCAAGUACUAUUAGAGCGUCGGGCUGUUUCAGAUUUUCCUCAUUGUAAUAGCAUUCAGCAUACAAUGCUGUUUCUCCUCUUGCUGUUGAGUUGUUUGCUUUGAGGGAAGGAAUGUCUAUUGUUAAGAAGUUUAACAUCCCCUAUCUGGAGGUUGAAAUGGAUGCCAAAUCUCUUAUGAUUAUGCUGAAUACUGCAGGUAGUAAUCCACAUCAUGAGCUUGCUGCUUCCAUCAAUGAUAUUGCGUAUUUGAUCAACAAAAAAUACUAGAUUGUGGUGGUGCUGCAUAUUCCAAGAGAGAGCAACUUGGUAGCUCAUUAGUUAGCUGCUCAUGCACUAGCUAUGGCAGUUGGACACAAGCAACACUUCACUGUUCCAGAUUGCGCAAGACUUUCUGAUACAUCUGAUAUGGAGCAUAUGGGUUCUAAUUCGAACUAAUCUUCUCUGCUUUAACAUAGAUUAUCUUUUGUGUAAUUGAUUUUUCUGUUCUAGGGGUCCAAGGGGGGUCCAAGGGUGGUCUUUUACUGUAUUAUAAUCCCCCUUGCUGGUUUAAUGCUCUACUCGCCCAUUGUGUAUUUUGCAACUGAAAUUUUGAUGGCUCCUACUACUGUAACAAACUCCUAAUUUUAUUCUAAUACAAGUCUCCUUUUGUGUGUUAAAAAAUAA